RNAcentral lists this ribosomal RNA (912 nucleotides) under Triticum aestivum (bread wheat). RNAcentral's name for it is "partial small subunit ribosomal RNA". Lineage: Eukaryota; Viridiplantae; Streptophyta; Magnoliopsida; Poales; Poaceae. The record is from RNAcentral.
AUGGCUUCCUCCGCCGGCGUCUCCCUCAACCUUGGAUCGCCGCCGUCUGAGAAGCUCGCAAGAGGUAAUUUCAUCCUCUGGAAGACGCAGGUCCUCCCAGCCCUGCGAGACGCGCAGGUGACGGGGCUCCUGGACAACACCGAUGCCGCUCCACCCAAGAUGGUGGAGAUCACGAAGGCAGACAAGACCACGGCCCUAGAGCCGAAUCCCCUAUACGGACCCUGGAUCGCCAAAGAUCAGCAGGUUCUAUCAUACCUUCUCAAUUCCAUGUCUCCAGAAAUUCUUGCACAAGUUGUUGGGAAAGAUUCCACCUUUGAGCUCUGGACGACGGUGACAAAUCUCUUCGCCUCACAAUCUCAGUCUCGGAUUACUAAUCUGAGAAUCGCCAUCACCAAUAUCAAGAAGGGCUCGAUGUCAAGCUCGGCGUAUAUGGCGAAGAUGAAAAGUCUUGGGGAUGAACUAGCUGCUGCAGGUCGUCCCGUAUCUGAUCCGGAGAUGGUGGACUAUAUUCUGGCCGGACUGGACCGCGACUACGACCCCGUGGUGGCGGCGAUCGGCGCUGUCAAAAACAUCAUCACAGCCGACGAUCUUUUUGCCCAGAUUGCUGCCUUUGAUCAAAGGAUGGAGAUGCUAGGCGACUCAUCUUCAGGCGGGUUCUAUUCAUCCGCUAAUGCGGUCUACAGAGGCCGUGGCCAGUCCCGUGGCAGAUCUCGCGGGCGUGGAGGAAGAGGCCGUGGCCGUGGUGAUCGUGGUGACCGCGGUGACCGACAGUCGUCUUCCUCCAAUGGAGGCGGCGAAUUCAGAGGUCGUCCUCGACAACAACAGCAACAGCAGGCUCGUGAGCAACAGCAUGACUAUUCAGAAUGUCAGAUAUGCUACAGACACCAUCCAGGAGGUGCACGAGUUUGCUGA